This 804-nucleotide ribosomal RNA is filed under the name uncultured Pelagibacteraceae bacterium. Its description in RNAcentral is "bacterial SSU rRNA". It matches the Rfam family "Bacterial small subunit ribosomal RNA", at positions 35 to 887 of the family's 1533-position model. Lineage: Bacteria; Pseudomonadati; Pseudomonadota; Alphaproteobacteria; Candidatus Pelagibacterales; Candidatus Pelagibacteraceae. The record is from RNAcentral.
GCUGGCGGCACGCCUUAUACAUGCAAGUCGAACGAAGUAGCAAUACUUAGUGGCAGACGGGUGAGUAACAUGUAGGUAUCUUCCCUUUGGUGAGGAAUAACACGAGGAAACUUGUGCUAAUACCUCAUAAGUCUUCACGGAGAAAGCUUUAUGCGCCGAAGGAUGAGCCUGCACUUGAUUAGUUUGUUGGUGGGGUAAUGGCCUACCAAGACUUUGAUCUAUAGCUGAUCUGAGAGGAUGAUCAGCCACAUUGGGACUGAGACACGGCCCAAACUCCUACGGGAGGCAGCAGUAGGGAAUAUUGCACAAUGGAGGAAACUCUGAUGCAGCGAUGCCGCGUGAGUGAAGAAGGCCUUUGGGUUGUAAAGCUCUUUCGUCGGGGAAGAAAAUGACUGUACCCGAAUAAGAAGGUCCGGCUAACUUCGUGCCAGCAGCCGCGGUAAUACGAAGGGACCUAGCGUAGUUCGGAAUUACUGGGCUUAAAGAGUUCGUAGGUGGUUAAAAAAGUUGGUGGUGAAAUCCCAGAGCUUAACUCUGGAACUGCCAUCAAAACUUUUUAGCUAGAGUAUGAUAGAGGAAAGCAGAAUUUCUAGUGUAGAGGUGAAAUUCGUAGAUAUUAGAAAGAAUACCAAUUGCGAAGGCAGCUUUCUGGAUCAUUACUGACGCUGAGGAACGAAAGCAUGGGUAGCGAAGAGGAUUAGAUACCCUCGUAGUCCAUGCCGUAAACGAUGUGUGUUAGACGUUGGAAAUUUAUUUUCAGUGUCGCAGCGAAAGCAUUAAACACACCGCCUGGGGAGUACGACC